Oncorhynchus tshawytscha (Chinook salmon) is the source of this 794-nucleotide long non-coding RNA. The record is from Ensembl. Lineage: Eukaryota; Metazoa; Chordata; Actinopteri; Salmoniformes; Salmonidae.
CUGUAGAGGUGGCAGGUAGCCUAGUGGUUAGAGUGUAGAGGAGGCAGGUAGCCUAGUGGUUAGAGUGUAGAGGCGGCAGGUAGCCUAGUGGUUAGAGUGUAGAGGAGGCAGGUAGCCUAGUGGUUAGAGUGUAGAGGCGGCAGGGUAGCCUAGUGGUUAGAGUGUAGAGGCGGCAGGGUAGCCUAGUGGUUAGAGUGUAGAGGUGGCAGGGUAGCCUAGUGGUUAGAGUGUAGAGGUGGCAGGGUAGCCUAGUGGUUAGAGUGUAGAGGUGGCAGGGUAGCCUAGUGGUUAGAGUGUAGAGGUGGUAGGUAGCCUAGUGGUUAGAGUGGAGGGGAGGCAGGUAGCCUAGUGGUUAGAGUGUAGAGGAGGCAGGUAGCCUAGUGGUUAGAGUGUAGAGGUGGCAGGUAGCCUAGUGGUUAGAGUGUAGAGGAGGCAGGUAGCCUAGUGGUUAGAGGGUAGAGGUGGUAGGUAGCCUAGUGGUUAGAGUGGAGGGGCGGCAGGUAGCCUAGUGGUUAGAGGGUAGAGGUGGCAGGGUAGCCUAGUGGUUAGAGUGUAGAGGAGGCAGGUAGCCUAGUGGUUAGAUUGGAGGGGCGGCAGGGUAGCCUAGUGGUUAGAGUGGAGGGGCGGCAGGGUAGCCUAGUGGUUAGAGUGGAGGGGCGGCAGGGUAGCCUAGUGGUUAGAGUGGAGGGGCGGCAGGGUAGCCUAGUGGUUAGAGUGGAGGGGCGGCAGGGUAGCCUAGUGGUUAGAGUGUAGAGGUGGCAGGGUAGCCUAGUGGUUAGAGUGUAGGGCGGCAG